UUAAAAAUUAAUAAAUUUGAAAAAGUUGAAACUGACACGACCUCCGUCAGUCAUAUCAACCGUCCUCCACUCUUCUACUACCUUCUUCACUUUCUUUCUUUUUCAUUUUCCAUUUUUCGUUUUCCAUUUUUCAUUUUUCGUUUCAACUUUGGGCAAAACUCUCAUUUUCCAUUUUCGUUUCAGCUUAGGUAAAACUCAUAUUUUCUAUUUUCUUCACUUCUUUUCGUGUAAGUGUGUAGUGUACAUUACUCGUCUUCUGCCAUUGUUGUGGUUGUUACAGUCGUGGGUCUCGACGGUGGGUUGUACAAGUAAGUUUCUCCGUUCUACUUUCAAUACUUUUCGUUCUUCACUGUGGGUAUUCAAAAAAAAUCUUUUUUUUUUUGAAGAGAAUGUGGUGUUAGUCUAUUUUCGUGUACUUAAUAGUUUUAUUUUCUCUCAGGUGUCGACGAUAAGGUCUUCAAGGUAGUUACCAUUUCUGUGUUGAGGUGUUUACAAUGGUGUUUAAACGAAAGAGGGGUCCUGGUGCAGAGAAAAAGGAUGCAGUUGAGAUAAAAAAAAGAAUUCGAAGGAAGCUUGGGCAAAAUAUUUUUAAUUGAUGCAGUCAAGCCAAUUUCAAAGCUUUUGCUGCUGCACAUGCAGAUAAAUCAAAAGCAGAUGUGCUUGUAGUUUUAAAGAGCAAAUUAAGCUACUUAGUGAGGAAGAGAUUGAAAAUUGGGCUUCAUAUGAAGUUGAGGCUUCCCCUUCGAAGGUUGGUGUUAGAGGGAAAGGGAAGAAGUUAAAGGAGACAGUAUCUACUGAGCCAGGAAUUGAGAACAAUGAAAGGGUAGGGGAUGUUCAAGUAUCUGGUCGUUUCUCCUUCGAACGUUUGGGUAGAAUAGUCCCACUUCUCAACGACACUCAAAAAGAAAUGGUCAGAAAUGCUAGUUUCUUGACAUUCGUAAGGGAGGAUGGCCCGUACGUUGAUGCUAAGAUAGUUAGUUGGCUGAUCGAUCACGUGGAUCCAACCACUUCUCGGCUGGAGAUAUUUGGAAGAACGAUUCAACUAUCGUUGAAGCUGUUUGAGGAUGUCAUGGGAAUCAGGGAUGGGAGAGAACUUGUGGUAACAGAAAGUGACCGUGACCUCCUUGAGUUUGAGAAAACUUUGAAGGGUAAGGACUAUAGGUUUUCCCUGACUCUGCUGGAGAAGGAUCUGAAGGAAAGCAACGAGAGCGAUUACUUGUUUCUCAUUAAGUUUCUGCUUGUUUUGUAUUGGAACAGUCUUGCUGCCCAAGAAUGGUACCAAGGUCAGGACUAGCUACAUGCAUUCUUUAAUUGAUACAAGGUCAAUUAAGAAGAAGAAUUGGGCGACUGCUGGCUUUCGAUAUCUAAUGACCUCUCUACAGCGGUACAAGACUAAGAACACGAAAAAUGUUUCCGGCUGCACCAUACUUAUAGCUUGUAUAUUUGACUCAUGUUGACUGGACUGCUAGUCAUGUGGACCGCACUGUGGCUCCAAUUGACUUUUGGAACAUAAAACAGUGUAAAUCAGUGUACAAGUGGAUUUGAGACCACGGUGGUCACACUAGUGGAAAGGUGAAAUUGACUAAUACCUAUGUGUUAGUACCAAGUUUUGAAUCCGCUAUAGUUGGGCAACCAACAAAUGAUACAAUUUACAAAGCUGUCUGUGAGUUGAAAGAUGAGGUCUUCCGCCUUGAUUUGAAGGUGAAUAGUACAAAAGAGCUGUUACUGAAGCUAGUCUCAAGUUACUUUGGCAAGGGUAAUAUAAAUGAAAUGUUCGAGAUACCUGAGAUGAGCAAAGUUCAGCGCUCGCUUUCUUUCAAGGGGGAGACCGAGAAGAAGGAUGAGUUGGGUGUGGACCAAAAAGAUGGUGAAAGGACGAAGGAUAAAUCCGAAGAGGCUGUCGAUGAUGCACUAAGUGUCCCUUCACUUAAUCUAUCAGAAGAUAAUGUCGAUGUUCCAAUUGAGAAGGCUGUUUUUGAAGAGUCUUUUGAAGAUAUCAACUUUUGGGUAGAAGAAGUCCCAGUUAUUGUGAAAGAGGAAGUUGAGCUGACCGCCAAGGAUGAUUUUGAUGCUGCUGCCUUAGAAAGAUUCAAAGAUUUUGGAGGAAAGGUGAUUGGGCCCUUCACUGUCAACAAUGUUUAUUCGAAUCAAAUGUGUGAGUUCUUUCGUUACAUUUUCUCUCGCGCCAAUGAUCCGAGUGAAGUGUUAGCCUAUUUUGGGAAGGUUGAGGUUGAUCGUCGGGGAUUUCAAUGCAUAAGACCAGAGUCCAAUAUCUCAAACAGUUUACUUGGAAGAUCAAUGGCUGUGGAGAGGAUGGCGAGGGAGCAACAGUGUUCCACUCUUUAUUACGAUGAAGAUUUGAAUUUAUGUCACAAUGUAAUUUGCAUUUUCUUGAUACUUUUGUGUUUUUGCAUAUUUCUUUAGUUAACUAUUUUUAUGACGUUGCUUGUUUUACUUUGUCGCAAAUGGUGAUACCCCUAUUGGAUACUGAGAGUGCUCCGCACUGGUAUGCAGCGAAUCUAACCAUGGAUAAUGCAACAGUGGAAAUCAGAGAUUCAUUGUCUACUGCAAUGCAUAAGAGGUCACGUCGAAACGUUUGCCUAGAGAUGCUGAACACUUUGGACCUAUUGUUCGCCUCUGUGUAGCCAGCACACCUGAAAUUUGGCCAAUUUCUAAUUAUUUCUUCCGACAGUGACUACCCACAGCAACAAAAUGGGCACGAUUAUGGGCUUUUUGUAAUGAAGUACAUGGAAUCAAUGGUUGAGGGAAAUGAAACAAUGCAAGAGUAGUUUAAUGUUGUUUUCAUUAGUUUUCAUCUAUUUAACUAUGUGUUUAUAACUAAAUUGAGGUCUUAAAGCUGUCAAUUUAUGUUAUGUUGAUUUGUUUUUCGGAAUUUCAUCCUCAUGUCUAUUUACGAAAUUGGAUCCCAAAUGUAUUGUCAGUUUGAUCCAAUUGAAGCUAGACUAGAGUGUGUUGGGAAAAUUGUGACCCACGAGAGUAACAAGGCUAAAGCUGUGGUUAUGGAGGGAGUUAAGAAGCAAUUUGAAAUGACCAAAACUCUUCCAUCAGCAUCCACAACAAAACCAGUACUUAGUCCAUCUCAGUCUCCUCGAGACCCCCGAUUCAGCACAGUGAAGGCUAGGUUUGAGAACAUGUGGACUAGAAAGAGCAAGUCCUAAAAGGCUGGCAUCAAGUCAUAAGUAGUAACAUUCAUGGUUCACAAACACUAUUGUAGCUAUCUUGCAUACAACUAUUACAAAAGUUAGGUUUUAGUUCAUUAGUUAUAUUUAGUUAUGUUAUAUAUUGCAUAAGUUUGUUGGAACAAUUUUCAUCUUACUACUGUAAGGUGAUUAGGAAUUACACUAAUGUUGGUGAUUAGCA
This is an RNA transcript of Cannabis sativa, 3381 nucleotides long. RefSeq lists it as uncharacterized. The record is from RefSeq and is a predicted model, not a curated record. NCBI's taxonomy places the organism in Eukaryota, Viridiplantae, Streptophyta, Magnoliopsida, Rosales, Cannabaceae. The transcript is spliced from 9 exons.